GGUUUUUUGGUAUAAUAUGAAAAAUCUAACCUGCCCCAUGAUGAAUUAAAUGGCCGCGGUAAUUUGACCGUGCGAAGGUAGCAUAAUCAAUUGUCUAUUAAUUGUAGACUGGAAUGAAUGGUUGAACUGGGAYUAAUUGUCUCCAUGGAAAAAAUGAAUUUUGGAUUUUUAUGAAGAUUUAAAAAUGGGUUUAUUAGACGAGAAGACCCUAUUGAGCUUUAUAUUACAGUUUAUAUUAAUGAUUAGAGGAGCUUAUAAACUAAUAUAUUUUGCUGGGGCGGCAAGUAGUUAAAAAAACGUUACUAUAAUUGAAUAUUUUAUUGAAGAUUUCUGAUCCAAUAAUAUUGAUUAUUAGACUAAGUUACUGUAGGGAUAACAGCGUAAUACAAUCUAGGAGUUCCCAUCUAUGAUGAAGAUUGCGACCUCGAUGUUGGUUUAGGAUUCCUUUAAGAAAAUAAAAUAUAUGGUGAAGAAACUAUAAAAGGUAGUCUGUUCGACUAUUGAAUUCCUAUA
Molecule: ribosomal RNA, 513 nt
Filed under: Scolopocryptops nipponicus
Lineage: Eukaryota; Metazoa; Arthropoda; Chilopoda; Scolopendromorpha; Cryptopidae
Description: partial 16S ribosomal RNA
Rfam family: Bacterial large subunit ribosomal RNA
Source: RNAcentral